Molecule: ribosomal RNA, 300 nt
Filed under: Prochlorococcus marinus str. MIT 9107
Lineage: Bacteria; Bacillati; Cyanobacteriota; Cyanophyceae; Synechococcales; Prochlorococcaceae
Also listed under: 2 other names
Description: partial 16S ribosomal RNA
Rfam family: Bacterial small subunit ribosomal RNA
Source: RNAcentral
ACGGACAAAGGGCAGCAAACUCGCGAGAGCUAGCAAAUCCCAUAAACCGUGGCUCAGUUCAGAUCGUAGGCUGCAACUCGCCUACGUGAAGUAGGAAUCGCUAGUAAUCGCAGGUCAGCAUACUGCGGUGAAUACGUUCCCGGGCCUUGUACACACCGCCCGUCACACCAUGGAAGUUGGCCAUGCCCGAAGUCGUUACUCCAACCCUUGUGGAGGAGGACGCCGAAGGUAGGGCUAAUGACUGGGGUGAAGUCGUAACAAGGUAGCCGUACCGGAAGGUGCGGCUGGAUCACCUCCUAA